RNAcentral lists this long non-coding RNA (509 nucleotides) under Mytilus galloprovincialis (Mediterranean mussel). The record is from RNAcentral. Lineage: Eukaryota; Metazoa; Mollusca; Bivalvia; Mytilida; Mytilidae.
GGUAACUCGGCAACAAACCAAGAUGGCCGCCAUGGCUAAAAAUAGAACAUGGGGGUACAAUGCAGUUUUUGGCUUAUAACUCAAAAACCAAAGCAUUAAGAGCAAAUCUGUGUGGGUAAAAUUGUUCAUCAGGUCACGAUCUAUCUGCCCUGGAAUUUUCAGAUGAAUCUGACAACCUGUUGUUAGGUUGCUGCCCCUGAAUUGGUAAUUUUGAGGAAAUUUGCUGUUUUUUUGUUAUUAUCUUGAAUAUUAUUAUAGAUAGAGAUAAACUGUAAACAGCAAUAAUAUACAGCAAAGUAAGAACUAAAAAUAAGUCAGUAUGACCAAAAUAGUCAAUUGACCCCCUAAGGAGUUAUUGCCCUUCAUAGUCAAUUUUUAACAAUUUUCUUAAAAUUUGAAGAUUUUCAAUAACAUUUUCCACAGAAAGUACUGUUAUAGAUAGAGAUAAUUGUAAGCAGCAAGAAUGUUUAGUAAAGUAAGAUCUACAAACACAUCACCAUCACCAAAAC